GACGAACGCUGGCGGCGUGCUUAACACAUGCAAGUCGAACGGAAAGGCCCUGCUUUUGUGGGGUGCUCGAGUGGCGAACGGGUGAGUAACACGUGAGUAACCUGCCCUUGACUUUGGGAUAACUUCAGGAAACUGGGGCUAAUACCGGAUAGGAGCUCCUGCUGCAUGGUGGGGGUUGGAAAGUUUCGGCGGUUGGGGAUGGACUCGCGGCUUAUCAGCUUGUUGGUGGGGUAGUGGCUUACCAAGGCUUUGACGGGUAGCCGGCCUGAGAGGGUGACCGGCCACAUUGGGACUGAGAUACGGCCCAGACUCCUAUGGGAGGCAGCAGUGGGGAAUAUUGCACAAUGGGCGGAAGCCUGAUGCAGCAACGCCGCGUGCGGGAUGACGGCCUUCGGGUUGUAAACCGCUUUCGCCGGUGACGAAGCGUGAGUGACGGUAAUGGGUAAAGAAGCACCGGCUAACUACGUG
This 468-nucleotide ribosomal RNA is filed under the name uncultured bacterium. Its description in RNAcentral is "partial 16S ribosomal RNA". It matches the Rfam family "Bacterial small subunit ribosomal RNA", at positions 28 to 507 of the family's 1533-position model. The record is from RNAcentral.